AUGCAGACUGGUGGAUUAAUAUUCCACAAACUCGUUAUUAACCAAGUUUCCCAAGAUUAUUCAUCUCAAUUCAGAUUUCAUAUAGCUCGUGGUUUCUCUUACUUCUCCAAGAGUACCUACUAUGUUCCUAUCAUCAACAUAGAUAACUAUAAUUGCAAAUCCGGAACUCUUUCCUCUAUGAGUACGCAAGGGCAUAGUUCAUAAUUUUGUAUCCCUUUCCACUCAAGUAGUCACUUGUAUAAAGUGAGCGUUUCAAUUCUAAUUACAAACGCACUCUGUGGUUUAGAGUUACUUGAGUUGGAUAGUUUAACGCACUCUGUGGUUUAGAGUUACUUGAGUUGGAUAGUUUAACGCACUCUGUGGUUUAGAGUUACUUGAGUUGGAUAGUUUAAGGCCAUCGGGCACUUUUAUGGAUAUCUCCCAAUCAAGAUCCCCAUGGAGAUAAGUAGUAACCACAUAGAUGAGCUGCAUUUCCAUUAUGGGAGAUUAUUUCUCCUCAUUGUCAAUCCAGAGUGUUGCGAGAAACCUUGGCGCCACAAGGCGAGCCUCUUUCUUUAGGGCUUCAUUCUUCUCAUUACGCUUUAUGACAAAGACUUUUUUAUGUCCUACGGGCUUUACACUUGGUAAGGUUAGCACUACCAAACCAAAUACCUGUCUCUUUGUUAGAGAAUCUAGUUCUUCCUAGAUCGCACUUUUAUGUAGGCCAAUAUGCUCUUUGUUAACAUUUUUC
Molecule: long non-coding RNA, 730 nt
Filed under: Fragaria vesca (wild strawberry)
Lineage: Eukaryota; Viridiplantae; Streptophyta; Magnoliopsida; Rosales; Rosaceae
Description: long non-coding RNA (FVES_LNC004417)
Source: RNAcentral